AGGGUAAAGAAGAUGCACCAGAAAACCCAGCUGGUCCAACGUAUACUUUCAGCUCCAUUGAAUCACAAAUAAGAGUUUUGGGUGAUUAUGCCUUCAUGUUACAUGAUUAUGAGCUUGCAUUGUCUAACUAUCGUCUACUUUCUACCGACUACAAGCUCGACAAAGCUUGGAAACAUUAUGCUGGUGUUCAGGAAAUGAUGGGGCUGACCUACUUCAUUUUGGAUCAGUCGAGAAAGGAUGGUGAAUAUUGCAUGGAUAAUGCAUUUACUACAUAUUUAAGAAUUGGAUCAUCAGGUCAAAG
Molecule: unclassified non-coding RNA, 301 nt
Filed under: Hevea brasiliensis (rubber tree)
Lineage: Eukaryota; Viridiplantae; Streptophyta; Magnoliopsida; Malpighiales; Euphorbiaceae
Source: RNAcentral